GUGGGGAAUAUUGGACAAUGGGCGAAAGCCUGAUCCAGCCAUGCCGCGUGUGUGAAGAAGGUCUUCGGAUUGUAAAGCACUUUAAGUUGGGAGGAAGGGCAGUAAGUUAAUACCUUGCUGUUUUGACGUUACCGACAGAAUAAGCACCGGCUAACUUCGUGCCAGCAGCCGCGGUAAUACGAAGGGUGCAAGCGUUAAUCGGAAUUACUGGGCGUAAAGCGCGCGUAGGUGGUUUUGUAAGUUGGAGGUGAAAUCCCCGGGCUCAACCUGGGAACUGGCUCCAAAACUGCAUGACUAGAGUACGGUAGAGGGUAGUGGAAUUUCCUGUGUAGCGGUGAAAUGCGUAGAUAUAGGAAGGAACACCAGUGGCGAAGGCGACUACCUGGACUGAUACUGACACUGAGGUGCGAAAGCGUGGGGAGCAAACAGGAUUAGAUACCCGUGUAGUCC
This 450-nucleotide ribosomal RNA is filed under the name uncultured bacterium. Its description in RNAcentral is "partial 16S ribosomal RNA". It matches the Rfam family "Bacterial small subunit ribosomal RNA", at positions 354 to 796 of the family's 1533-position model. The record is from RNAcentral.